UCCUACGGGAGGCAGCAGUCGGGAAUAUUGCGCAAUGGAGGAAACUCUGACGCAGUGACGCCGCGUGCAGGAAGAAGGUUUUCGGAUUGUAAACUGCUUUAGACAGGGAAGAAAGAAAUGACGGUACCUGUAGAAUAAGCUCCGGCUAACUACGUGCCAGCAGCCGCGGUAAUACGUAGGGUGCAAGCGUUAUCCGGAUUUACUGGGUGUAAAGGGCGAGUAGACGGCGUUGCAAGUCAGAUGUGAAAGGCUAGGGCUCAACCUUAGGAGAGCAUCUGAAACUGUAAUGCUAGAGUGCAGGCGAG
Molecule: ribosomal RNA, 305 nt
Filed under: uncultured bacterium
Lineage: Bacteria
Description: bacterial SSU rRNA
Rfam family: Bacterial small subunit ribosomal RNA
Source: RNAcentral